CAGGUACCGGUUCACGCUCGAAUUGCCAGGUAAAAAUCGGGCGACCCGGCGACC
Non-coding RNA from Mycobacterium sp. EPa45, 54 nucleotides. Lineage: Bacteria; Bacillati; Actinomycetota; Actinomycetes; Mycobacteriales; Mycobacteriaceae. The record is from Rfam.